This 792-nucleotide long non-coding RNA is filed under the name Anas platyrhynchos platyrhynchos (common mallard). Its description in RNAcentral is "lncRNA (ENSAPLG00000025745.1)". The record is from RNAcentral. Lineage: Eukaryota; Metazoa; Chordata; Aves; Anseriformes; Anatidae.
AUGAAAACAUCUCAGGAGAGCAACUGUGCAUCUUGCAAUGCAAGAAAAAAACAAAAUGAAACAAAACAAAACAAAAAAACACAGGGCUCAUCCAUGCCGUUGUCCUUCCACAAAUACAAAGUGAAAGAGACAGACUUUUUAGAAAAACAGACCAACCUGAUGCAGCAGGACUUCUAUAACCAGAUGAGAGGCAGGUCCAGUCGCAGUCACAUCACAAGGACUUUCACUGAGGAACACCAAGACUGCUCUGUGUUCUACCCGUCACCAAUGCUACGGAUCUGUAUGCAGACACAAGCUAAAUAUUAUCCACCUGCACUAGCACAGCAACCUUUUUGAUUAAAAAUAAUAAUAAUAAUAAUUUUGUUUUUAUUGUUGAGAUUUUUUUUCCCCACUUAAUUUACUUUCCUUUCUAAUCAAUGCUAUUACAUCUAAUUCCAAAUGUAGCCUGACACUUUUUGAGGUUUUGUAGAGCAUUAAGGCUAUAAAUACAGAAAAUAAGAUCUUGACUUAUCUCUGCCAAACUGGCCAUUCUCCAAAAAAAUCCCAGUAUGAGUGCUUCCACACUCCUAGGUUUUGCUUUUACUGUUUUCACCAUUACCACAUAUGUAUACACACAUUGUCUAAAUCUGAAAGGAGAAUGUGAAAUCUCUGAAAGGAGAGGGAAAACUCAAUGAAAAUUUGAAGAUGAACAAAAAGCCCAGCACAAAGAAAAUUGUUAAUUCUUAAACUUCGGGAAACGAAUGUUCCUCCUAUGUUUACUUUAAUAAAAAAACAGGAUUAGCAGUUCCUUCA